This 482-nucleotide ribosomal RNA is filed under the name uncultured bacterium. RNAcentral's name for it is "partial 16S ribosomal RNA". It matches the Rfam family "Bacterial small subunit ribosomal RNA", at positions 30 to 507 of the family's 1533-position model. The record is from RNAcentral.
AUUGAACGCUGGCGGCAUGCCUUACACAUGCAAGUCGAACGGUAACGGGCCUUCGGGUGCCGACGAGUGGCGGACGGGUGAGUAAUACAUCGGAACGUGCCCGAUCCUGGGUGAUCACGGGGCGAAAGCUUUGCUAAUACCGCCUACGAUCUACGAAUGCAAGCAGGGGACCGCAAGGCAUUGUGCGGCCGUGGCGGCCGAUGUCAGCUUAUGUAGUUGGUGGGAUAAAAGCUGACCAAGGCGACGAUCUGUAGCUGGUCUGAGAGGAUGAUCGGCCACACUGGGACUGAGACACGGCCCAGACUCCUACGGGAGGCAGCAGUGGGGAAUUUUGGACAAUGGGCGCAAGCCUGAUCCAGCCAUGCCGCGUGGAGGAUGAAGGCCUUCGGGUUGUAAACUGCUUUUGUUCGGAAAGAAAAGCCUUCUUUUAAUACAGGAGGGUCAUGACGGUACCGAAAGAAUAAGCACCGGCUAACUACGUG